CCUGAUGGCUAAGAUGGUAAAGAAUCUGCCUGCAAUGCCGGAGACCCAGGGUUCAAUCCCUGGGUCAGGA
RNAcentral lists this transfer RNA (70 nucleotides) under Capra hircus (goat). It matches the Rfam family "tRNA". From Rfam's summary of the family: Transfer RNA (tRNA) molecules are approximately 80 nucleotides in length. Their secondary structure includes four short double-helical elements and three loops (D, anti-codon, and T loops). RNAcentral also lists the same sequence under 1 other name. The record is from Rfam by way of RNAcentral. Lineage: Eukaryota; Metazoa; Chordata; Mammalia; Artiodactyla; Bovidae.